GCUGGCGGCAUGCCUCAUACAUGCAAGUCGAACGAAAUCUUCGGAUUUAGUGGCGCACGGGUGAGUAACAUGUGGGAAUCUACCUGAAGGUUCGGAAUAACUGCGGGAAACUGUAGCUAAUACCGGAUGUGUCUGCAAAGAGAAAGAUUUAUCGCCUUCAGAUGAGCCCGCACUAGAUUAGCUAGUUGGUGAGGUAAUUGCUCCACCAAGGCUACGAUCUAUAGCUGAUUUGAGAGGAUGAUCAGCCACACUGGGACUGAGACACGGCCCAGACUCCUACGGGAGGCAGCAGUAGGGAAUAUUGGACAAUGGGGGAAACCCUGAUCCAGCAAUGCCGCGUGAGUGAAGAAGGCCUUAGGGUUGUAAAACUCUUUCAUCAAUGAUGAUAAUGACAUUAAUUGAAGAAGAAGCUCCGGCUAACUUCGUGCCAGCAGCCGCGGUAAUACGAAGGGGGCUAGCGUUGUUCGGAAUCACUGGGCGUAAAGCGUAUGUAGGCGGAUCAAAAAGUUAGAUGUGAAAUCCCUGGGCUCAACCCAGGAACUGCAUUUAAAACUAGUGAUCUAGAAUUUGGUAAAGGUUAGUAGAAUUUCCAGUGUAGAGGUGAAAUUCGUAGAUAUUGGAAAGAAUACCAGAAGCGAAGGCGACUAACUAGGCCAUUUUUGACGCUGAGAUACGAAAGCGUGGGUAGCAAACAGGAUUAGAUACCCUGGUAGUCCACGCAGUAAACGAUGAGUGCUAGUCGCUGGUGCAAUAGUAUCAGUGUCGUAGCUAACGCAUUAAGCACUCCGCCUGGGAAGUAC
RNAcentral lists this ribosomal RNA (800 nucleotides) under uncultured Alphaproteobacteria bacterium. RNAcentral describes it as "bacterial SSU rRNA". It matches the Rfam family "Bacterial small subunit ribosomal RNA", at positions 35 to 883 of the family's 1533-position model. The record is from RNAcentral. Lineage: Bacteria; Pseudomonadati; Pseudomonadota; Alphaproteobacteria.